GUCUAUGGCCAUACCACCCUGAACACCCUGGAUCUCGUCUGAUCUCGGAAGCUACGCAAGGUCAGGCCUGGUUAGUACAUGGAUGGGAGAAAUACUCAAAAUCUCUAUGAAGAAAAUCUUAAACA
Molecule: ribosomal RNA, 125 nt
Filed under: Propithecus coquereli (Coquerel's sifaka)
Lineage: Eukaryota; Metazoa; Chordata; Mammalia; Primates; Indriidae
Source: RNAcentral